UACGGAGGGGGCUAGCGUUGUUCGGAAUUACUGGGCGUAAAGCGUACGUAGGCGGCUUUGUAAGUUAGAGGUGAAAGCCCGGGGCUCAACUCCGGAAUUGCCUUUAAGACUGCAUCGCUUGAAUCAUGGAGAGGUGAGUGGAAUUCCGAGUGUAGAGGUGAAAUUCGUAGAUAUUGGGAAGAACACCGGUGGCGAAGGCGGCUCACUGGCUCGUAACUGACGCUCAGGCGCGACAGCGUGGGGAUCAAACAGG
This 253-nucleotide ribosomal RNA is filed under the name uncultured bacterium. Its description in RNAcentral is "partial 16S ribosomal RNA". It matches the Rfam family "Bacterial small subunit ribosomal RNA", at positions 524 to 776 of the family's 1533-position model. The record is from RNAcentral.